UGCUUGGACUACAUAUGGUUGAGGGUUGUA
Molecule: ribosomal RNA, 30 nt
Organism: Drosophila melanogaster (fruit fly)
Lineage: Eukaryota; Metazoa; Arthropoda; Insecta; Diptera; Drosophilidae
Source: Ensembl